Molecule: ribosomal RNA, 207 nt
Filed under: uncultured bacterium
Lineage: Bacteria
Description: partial 16S ribosomal RNA
Rfam family: Bacterial small subunit ribosomal RNA
Source: RNAcentral
UCUCAGUUCGGAUUGGAGGCUGAAACCCGCCUCCAUGAAGUUGGAUUCGCUAGUAAUCGCGCAUCAGCCAUGGCGCGGUGAAUACGUUCCCGGGCCUUGUACACACCGCCCGUCAAGCCAUGGGAGCUGGGGGUGCCUGAAGUUCGUGACCGCAAGGAUCGACCUAGGGCAAAACCGGUGACUGGGGCUAAGUCGUAACAAGGUAGC